This 510-nucleotide ribosomal RNA is filed under the name uncultured bacterium. RNAcentral's name for it is "partial 16S ribosomal RNA". It matches the Rfam family "Bacterial small subunit ribosomal RNA", at positions 28 to 507 of the family's 1533-position model. The record is from RNAcentral.
GACGAACGCUGGCGGCGUGCUUAACACAUGCAAGUCGAACGAAGAGCGACGGAAGCUUGCUUCUAUCACUCUUAGUGGCGAACGGGUGAGUAACGCGUAAUCAACCUGCCCUUCUGAGGGGGCCAACAGUUGGAAACGACUGCUAAUACCGCAUACGACCUAACCUCGGCAUCGAGGAUAGAUGAAAGGUGGCCUCUACAUGUAAGCUAUCACUGAAGGAGGGGAUUGCGUCUGAUUAGCUAGUUGGCGGGGUAACGGCCCACCAAGGCGAUGAUCAGAAGCAGGGCUGAGAGGAUGAACGGCCGCAUUGGGACUGAGACACGGCCCAGACUCCUACGGGAGGCAGCAGUGGGGAAUCUUCCGCAAUGGACGAAAGUCUGACGGAGCAACGCCGCGUGAGUGAGGACGGCCUUCGGGUUGUAAAGCUCUGUUAAUCGGGACGAAAGGCCUUCUUGCGAAUAGGGAGAAGGAUUGACGGUACCGGAAUAGAAAGCCACGGCUAACUACGUG